GGCGGGGCGAUCCCAGCGUGCGGCCCUGAGGCACUGUCCCCACACCGCUCCACACUGUCCCGAAGCCCCGAGCGCCAGCCCGGACCCCCGGGACACGCCCCCCCACCACACACACACACACACACACACACACACACACACACACACACACUCCCCCCCCGACCCCGGGACACACACCCCCACCCCACCCCCUGCACCCCCCGCACCCCCGACCGCUGGGACACCCCCCCACACACUCCCCUCCCCUCCAGCAACGCGCGGCGCUCCCAUCCCCCGGCAGCCCACCAGGUGGCGCUCGCUCCCCCAUUUCCCCCCCCCCCUCCCGCGCCGACGCCCGUGACGUCAGCCGCCCGGCUCCAUUUGAGCGCCUCUCGGCAGCCGAGAACUCGGACUUCCCGUGUGGCUCACAACAUAACUACUCGGCUUCUACAGUGGCUGUUGCUUCUACAGUGGCUGUGGCUCGACCCCUGGCCUGGGAACUUCCAUAUGCCGCAGGUGCGGCCACUUGUUUUUGCGCUCCCGCUCGCCUCCCCGGCCCGCCCCGGGCCCUUUCGCCUCGCCUUUUGCCCCGGCUCGCCCGCUGCCUUCGCCUGCCU
Molecule: long non-coding RNA, 596 nt
Filed under: Sus scrofa (pig)
Lineage: Eukaryota; Metazoa; Chordata; Mammalia; Artiodactyla; Suidae
Description: lncRNA (ENSSSCG00070022617.1)
Source: RNAcentral